ACCUGAAUAGCGGAAAACAGUUGAGUGAAAAAAUAGUGCAUGAUACGGUAUAUUAGUGAUGCGAUAGAAAGAGAGACGAUGUAUUAAAUUAGGAGAAUGUUAACCAGUGUUCUAAGGACAUUGGUUAAGCAUCCAAAACAAGCAAAUGUUCUUAAAGAAAGUUGUGUAAUCACUGUUUGAUCAAAAGUAACAUCUUAUAUUUCGAAGAUAAAAUUUCUAUUUGUAGAAUCCUUAAGCAAUGCUUUGAGGGGCACUGGUUAGCAAGAUCUAUUAAAUUAUUGUACAAAAAUAAUGUCAAUUAAAAUAUAAUAGUUGAUUUUAAAAACUUUAUUACUCCGUCUUAAAAUAAUCGUUUCUUUACUAUUUUUUUCAUGUUUCAGAAUAAUUGUCACUUUAGAAUACCAUGCAGCUAUCAUUUGUUAUUUUUCACUAUUAUAUCUUUAUUGGCCUUGCUAACAAGUGCCUUUAGGGCACUAGUUAAUGAUUCAAAAAAAUAAAAACAAUUGAUAAUUUUCAUAUAUAAAAAGUUGCUUUUUUAUGUUUCAUCCAACUUAAUUACUUCACUAACUACAAUUAAUAAUGAUAUUUUAGUAAAUAAUAAUAAUUUUAUAAUUGAAAUCAAUACAAUUAAUCAUUUCCUUAAAGAUCCUUAAUAAGAAUAUUUUGAGUGAGAGGGAGUAGUUAUUUUCAAUUUGUUUUUCUAAUUUUGUUUGAUUUAUGAAAUUCUAAAUUGAUGCUUGAAUGUUAAGGAGGAAUACAUAAUUAAAAUAAAAGUAUGUGUAAAUAAAUGUUUGCUGCUGGUACAAAUAAAUAAAUAAUAAUAAAAAUUAGACCAGAAAGAAGCCACAUGAAUGAAGUGCAGAUUGAAGUUUAAGAAGCUCAUGUUGUGCUGUAGAUGGUAAAGUGAGGUUGGCAAUGUCAAUGAUUGGAACUUGAAAAUCUGAUUCUGAAGGAAGAAGAGCAUCACGAAAUCCAACACCACCUUCAUUAUAGAUAUAAUUAUUUGGUGGAAGAUUUUCAGAAUUCAAUGCCAACUCUUGAACUGAUUUAUUACCAACUAUCUUUACCUCUGCCGACACCUCCAUUUUUGUUAUUGUUAUUUGUGAUGAAAUCACUAAACAAGUCAAAAGAAGAAGCAAUAAUAAUAAUCAAACUAGACAAAAACCCACGUGUUUGAAUGCAGAUACUCAUCAAUUCAUAUGUGGUCCAUUGGAAAUUUCACAUUAUAUCUUACCCUCAUCUUAUCUACCCAAUCCAUAUACCAAUCCUUUUAAGUGUUGUUUUAAAAGCCCGUGAGUCUCACUUGUGAUGAAAACCCACGCGCUAAGUCUUAAAUUAUGAAGUUGGUUGUAGAUACGAGUUCGGUUACGAUAUGAUACGAGUAUGUGGGUAUAAUACGAUUCAGAUAUGUGGAUACACGAAUUUUUUAAAAUUUAAGAUAAGAUACGACUAAGAUACUUUGACAAAAUUUAAUAAUAAAAAACUGCGGAAAAUUUUUGAAGAAAAUAAACAUUGAUUACUUUUUAUCAUUAUAUAAUAUUAUAAAAGUCACAAUUUUUCAAAUAAAAAAAAAAGUCACAAUUUUUUAAAAAUAAUAUGUGAUUAAAAUUAACAAAUGUUAAGUUUUCUUAUAAACCAUAUUAUUUUUUUAUAUGUUGGGAUAUGGACAGAAACAUUAUUAAAAAAAUUCAACACAAAUUUUAUCUAAUGUUGAUUAAUUGAAUCUCCCCGCUUUUGAAAAAGAUAAGCUAACAAUAGGAAAAAAAUACUCUCUCUUUCUCUCUUGCGACAAAACAGAUACAAUAACAGCCUUCCUUAUCCCUUGAAUCCAAACAUUUCCCAAAAGAUGUAGCCUUCAGGUUCAUGGUGGUGCUUUGGGACCUCACGUCCGCACCAUCAACACGCCCUCGUGGUGCUGGUUAGUCCGGCGGCCUUGCCGUCGUUCUAUUGUUGAAGACUGCUUUCACCUCCGUCGCGAAGAGGGGUUUGGUUCAUUUUAGAUCGAUCUGUUUGUUGAGUUCUUGCUUAUGAAGCCACAUGAAUGAAGUGCAGAUUGGAGUUUAUGAAGCUCAUGUUGUGCUGUAGAUGGAGAAGUGAGGUUGGCAAUGUCAAUGAUUGGAACAUGAAAAUCUGAUUCUGAAGGAAGAAGAGCAUCACGAAAUAGUGUUUGAAACACUUGUUAACAUUUUCUUUAAUAUAUAACUCUUCAACAAGAAAUUCU
RNAcentral lists this long non-coding RNA (2221 nucleotides) under Medicago truncatula (barrel medic). Its description in RNAcentral is "long non-coding RNA (MTRU_LNC006439)". Lineage: Eukaryota; Viridiplantae; Streptophyta; Magnoliopsida; Fabales; Fabaceae. The record is from RNAcentral.